GUAGAUAUAGUUUAACGAAAACAUUAGAUUGUGAUUCUAAAGACAAGAGUUAAAGUCCCUUUAUCCACC
RNAcentral lists this transfer RNA (69 nucleotides) under Parapterois heterurus (blackfoot lionfish). RNAcentral's name for it is "tRNA-His". It matches the Rfam family "tRNA". Rfam says of the family: Transfer RNA (tRNA) molecules are approximately 80 nucleotides in length. Their secondary structure includes four short double-helical elements and three loops (D, anti-codon, and T loops). The record is from RNAcentral. Lineage: Eukaryota; Metazoa; Chordata; Actinopteri; Perciformes; Scorpaenidae.